GAUGAACGCUGGCGGCGUGCCUAAUGCAUGCAGGUCGAGCGAACAGACGAGGAGCUUGCUCCUCUGACGUUAGCGGCGGACGGGUGAGUAACACGUGGAUAACCUACCUAUAAGACUGGGAUAACUUCGGGAAACCGGAGCUAAUACCGGAUAAUAUAUUGAACCGCAUGGUUCAAUAGUGAAAGACGGUUUUGCUGUCACUUAUAGAUGGAUCCGCGCCGCAUUAGCUAGUUGGUAAGGUAACGGCUUACCAAGGCAACGAUGCGUAGCCGACCUGAGAGGGUGAUCGGCCACACUGGAACUGAGACACGGUCCAGACUCCUACGGGAGGCAGCAGUAGGGAAUCUUCCGCAAUGGGCGAAAGCCUGACGGAGCAACGCCGCGUGAGUGAUGAAGGUCUUCGGAUCGUAAAACUCUGUUAUUAGGGAAGAACAAAUGUGUAAGUAACUAUGCACGUCUUGACGGUACCUAAUCAGAAAGCCACGGCUAACUACGUG
Molecule: ribosomal RNA, 497 nt
Filed under: uncultured bacterium
Lineage: Bacteria
Description: partial 16S ribosomal RNA
Rfam family: Bacterial small subunit ribosomal RNA
Source: RNAcentral